UGUCUAUCAUCACUGUUCAUGGUAACCAGGAGAUCAUCAGAGGCGGUACUGCAGACAUUGAGAGGGUACCACCCCUGUAGUGUGAUCACGAAUGAGUUUAGUGGAACAAUAAACCUCCAGAUGUCUAUGUACAUGUGUAUAUUAUAAUUAAACUUCUGGUGCAUUCGCGCAUGCGAGAUUACUCUA
Molecule: long non-coding RNA, 186 nt
Organism: Ostrea edulis (European flat oyster)
Lineage: Eukaryota; Metazoa; Mollusca; Bivalvia; Ostreida; Ostreidae
Exons: 2
Source: RefSeq, a predicted model, not a curated record